RNAcentral lists this ribosomal RNA (253 nucleotides) under uncultured bacterium. RNAcentral describes it as "partial 16S ribosomal RNA". It matches the Rfam family "Bacterial small subunit ribosomal RNA", at positions 524 to 776 of the family's 1533-position model. The record is from RNAcentral.
UACGUAGGUGGCAAGCGUUGUCCGGAUUUACUGGGCGUAAAGAGCGCGCAGGCGGUCGUUCAAGUCGCGUGUGAAAGCCCCCGGCUCAACUGGGGAGGGUCACGCGAUACUGAUCGACUCGAAGGCAGGAGAGGGUAGUGGAAUUCCCGGUGUAGUGGUGAAAUGCGUAGAUAUCGGGAGGAACACCAGUGGCGAAGGCGAGUCUCUGGACAGCAACUGACGCUGAGGCACGAAGGCCAGGGGAGCAAACGGG